Molecule: long non-coding RNA, 1092 nt
Organism: Leptidea sinapis
Lineage: Eukaryota; Metazoa; Arthropoda; Insecta; Lepidoptera; Pieridae
Exons: 2
Source: RefSeq, a predicted model, not a curated record
UAAACAGUCUGUUUUCCAUUCUGCAGGAAUAGUAUAUAAAAAGAUGUUGAGACUGUGGCAAUUAAGUUUUUUGAGUAAAAUAUAUGGAAUGGUAUCAAGACCGAAAGAUGUAUCUCUUCUAGUAAAUAAAGCGGAUUUUAGUUCUUGUAAAGAAAAAGGCUCUAUCAAAUAUUUAUUACUAUCAUUAACAACAUUUACAUAGUUAGUUAACUCAUUUGAUACAAAGUCAGAAGUAUACUUUUGUAGAAAAUCUGGAAUCCAACUAUCAUUCAACACACUGUCAGGAAUGUAAGUUUUGUUAAAUUUGCGCAUGUAUUUCCAAAUUGAAGACAAAGGAGUACAACGAUUAAAUGAAUUGCACAAGCCUAUCCAGCUAUUUCUUCUUUCACUUUUUAAGAUAAGUUUUUUUAAAGCCCGCAAUCUCUUAAACUCCACAUAAUUUUCAUCAGUGGAGUUGUUUUUAAAAUUAAUGUAACCAUUUUUAGCAUUUAAAACUGCUUCUGUACACUUCUGAUUCCACCAAGGCAACCAAGGAUAUUUAAAAGAUUUUUGUGAACAAGAACUAGUAACAUUAUUACUAUUAGAACUUUUGGAAAACAGACAGCUAGGGAUUGACUGCUUGGCAGCAGAAAGUAAAAUAUUACAAAAGGAAUUAAAAGCAUCUAUUGAAGAUAAAGUGUCAAAUUUAACAUCAUCCAAAUAAGAAACAACUAAGUUACUAUACAUAUUCCAAUUCACCUGCUUAUAAUUAGGGGAGAUGAUAACUACUGCCCAGAGGACUGUCAAUAACUGACCAGUCACAUAAAAGAGCCAAUGAUGGAGUUACCAAAGUCAAGUCAAGAGCAUUAGGACGCCAAGAUGGAGAUCCUAUUGUGGUAGCUUGACCAUUAUUCAGAAUAACAAGACCAUUCUCAUCUAUAACCUCUAAAACAUCUCGAGGCAAUGUAUCAACACAUCCCCACAACAUGUGAUGAGCAUUGAAAUCACCUGCAAAUAUCAUUGGCUCUGGAAUGGACUUAAUUAAACUGUUUAAAUUGUUUUUAUUAAAUGGAGGAUUUGAAUUGGAAGGACUGUAAAAACUCACAAUACUCA